AUUGAACGCUGGCGGCAGGCCUAACACAUGCAAGUCGGACGGUAGCACAGAGGAGCUUGCUCCUUGGGUGACGAGUGGCGGACGGGUGAGUAAUGUCUGGGAUCUGCCCGAUAGAGGAGGAUAACCACUGGAAACGGUGGCUAAUACCGCAUAACGUCGCAAGACCAAAGAGGGGGAACUUCGGGCCUCUCACUAUCGGAUGAACCCAGAUGGGAUUAGCUAGUAGGCGGGGUAAUGGCCCACCUAGGCGACGAUCCCUAGCUGGUCUGAGAGGAUGACCAGCCACACUGGAACUGAGACACGGUCCAGACUCCUACGGGAGGCAGCAGUGGGGAAUAUUGCACAAUGGGCGCAAGCCUGAUGCAGCCAUGCCGCGUGUAUGAAGAAGGCCUUCGGGUUGUAAAGUACUUUCAGCGGGGAGGAAGGCGGUGAGGUUAAUAACCUCGCCGAUUGACGUUACCCGCAGAAGAAGCACCGGCUAACUCCGUGCCAGCCGCCGCCGUAA
RNAcentral lists this ribosomal RNA (505 nucleotides) under uncultured bacterium. Its description in RNAcentral is "partial 16S ribosomal RNA". It matches the Rfam family "Bacterial small subunit ribosomal RNA", at positions 29 to 523 of the family's 1533-position model. The record is from RNAcentral.